UGACAGCAGAGCAAUCAGGUACCCUAG
RNAcentral lists this non-coding RNA (27 nucleotides) under Mus musculus (house mouse). The record is from RNAcentral. Lineage: Eukaryota; Metazoa; Chordata; Mammalia; Rodentia; Muridae.